UGGGGAAUUUUGGACAAUGGGCGAAAGCCUGAUCCAGCAAUGCCGCGUGUGUGAAGAAGGCCUUCGGGUUGUAAAGCACUUUUUGUCCGGAAAGAAAUCCUUGGCUCUAAUACAGUCGGGGGAUGACGGUACCGGAAGAAUAAGCACCGGCUAACUACGUGCCAGCAGCCGCGGUAAUACGUAGGGUGCAAGCGUUAAUCGGAAUUACUGGGCGUAAAGCGUGCGCAGGCGGUUUGCUAAGACCGAUGUGAAAUCCCGGGCUCAACCUGGGAACUGCAUUGGUGACUGGCAGGCUAGAGUAUGGCAGAGGGGGGUUAGAAUUGCCACGUGUAGCAGUGAAAGUGCGUAGAGAUGUGGAGGAAUACCGAUGGCGAAGGCAGCCCCUGGGCCAAUACUGACGCUCAUGCACGAAAGCGUGGGGGAGCAAA
RNAcentral lists this ribosomal RNA (428 nucleotides) under uncultured bacterium. RNAcentral's name for it is "partial 16S ribosomal RNA". It matches the Rfam family "Bacterial small subunit ribosomal RNA", at positions 355 to 772 of the family's 1533-position model. The record is from RNAcentral.